AGUGAACGCUGGCGGUAGGCCUAACACAUGCAAGUCGAACGGCAGCACAGUAAGAGCUUGCUCUUACGGGUGGCGAGUGGCGGACGGGUGAGGAAUACAUCGGAAUCUACUUUUUCGUGGGGGAUAACGUAGGGAAACUUACGCUAAUACCGCAUACGACCUACGGGUGAAAGCAGGGGAUCUUCGGACCUUGCGCGAUUGAAUGAGCCGAUGUCGGAUAAGCUAGUUGGCGGGGUAAAGGCCCACCAAGGCGACGAUCCGUAGCUGGUCUGAGAGGAUGAUCAGCCACACUGGAACUGAGACACGGCCCAGACUCCUACGGGAGGCAGCAGUGGGGAAUAUUGGACAAUGGGCGCAAGCCUGAUCCAGCCAUACCGCGUGGGUGAAGAAGGCCUUCGGGUUGUAAAGCCCUUUUGUUGGGAAAGAAAAGCAGCAGGUUAAUACCCCGCUGUUCUGACGGUACCCAAAGAAUAAGCACCGGCUAACUUCGUG
Molecule: ribosomal RNA, 492 nt
Filed under: uncultured bacterium
Lineage: Bacteria
Description: partial 16S ribosomal RNA
Rfam family: Bacterial small subunit ribosomal RNA
Source: RNAcentral